This 492-nucleotide ribosomal RNA is filed under the name uncultured bacterium. Its description in RNAcentral is "partial 16S ribosomal RNA". It matches the Rfam family "Bacterial small subunit ribosomal RNA", at positions 28 to 507 of the family's 1533-position model. The record is from RNAcentral.
GAUGAACGCUGGCGGCGUGCCUAAUACAUGCAAGUCGAGCGAACACACGAUGAGCUUGCGCUUUUACGGUUGGCGAGGGACGGGUGGGUAAGGCGUAGGUAACCAUCUACUAUUUCGGGGGGGAUUUCGGAAAGCCGCUUCCACUACUGCCGAAUAUUUCGAACGGCUUGAUUCAUGGGUUAAUAAGACCUUGCCCAAUACUAUGAGACGAUGUCGGAUUAGCUAGUUGGCAAGGUAAGGGCUCACCAAGGCAACGAUCCGUAGCUGACCUGAGAGGAUGAUCAGCCACACUGGAACUGAGACACGGUCCAGACUCCUACGGGAGGCAGCAGUAGGGAAUCUUGCGCAAUGGGCGAAAGCCUGACGGAGCCACGCCGCGUGAGUGAUGAAGGUCUUCGGAUCGUAAAACUCUGUUAUUAGGGAAGAAAAGACGUGUAAGUAACUGUGCACGUUUUGACGGUACCUAAUCAGAAAGCAACGGCUAACUACGUG